UUACAGAUGUGAAAGACCCGGGGCCGUCAACCUCCGGAAUUAGCAUUUGUAAACUAGGCAGACUAGAGUACUGUAGAGGGGGGUAGGAAGUUUCUAGGUGUAGCGGUGAAAUAGCGUAGAGAUCUGAAGGAAUACCGGUGGCGAAGGCGGCCCCCUCGGACAGAUACUGACACUCAGAUGCGAAAGCGUGGGGAGCAAACAGGAUUAGAUACCCUGGUAG
Molecule: ribosomal RNA, 220 nt
Filed under: uncultured bacterium
Lineage: Bacteria
Description: partial 16S ribosomal RNA
Rfam family: Bacterial small subunit ribosomal RNA
Source: RNAcentral